This 468-nucleotide ribosomal RNA is filed under the name uncultured bacterium. Its description in RNAcentral is "partial 16S ribosomal RNA". It matches the Rfam family "Bacterial small subunit ribosomal RNA", at positions 28 to 507 of the family's 1533-position model. The record is from RNAcentral.
GACGAACGCUGGCGGCGUGCUUAACACAUGCAAGUCGAACGGAAAGGCCAUGCUUUUGUGGGGUGCUCGAGGGGCGAACGGGUGAGUAACACGUGAGUAACCUGGCCUUGACUGUGGGAUAACUUCAGGAAACUGGGGCUAAUACCGGAUAGGGGCUCCUGCUGCAUGGUGGGGGUUGGAAAGUUUCGGCGGUUGGGGAUGGACUCGCGGCUUAUCAGCUUGUUGGUGGGGUAGUGGCUUACCAAGGCUUUGACGGGUAGCCGGCCUGAGAGGGUGACCGGCCACAUUGGGCCUGUGAUACGGCCCAGACUCCUACGGGAGGCAGCAGUGGGGAAUAUUGCACAAUGGGCGGAAGCCUGAUGCAGCAACGCCGCGUGCGGGAUGACGGCCUUCGGGUUGUAAACCGCUUUCGCCUGUGACGAAGCGUGAGUGACGGUAAUGGGUAAAGAAGCACCGGCUAACUACGUG